GUCUACGGCCAUACCACCCUGAACGCGCCCGAUCUCGUAUGAUCUCGGAAGCUAAGCAGGGUCGGGCCUGGUUAGUACUUGGAUGGGAGAAUAUUUGUCACUCUCAUGUAUGUUAUCU
Ribosomal RNA from Vulpes vulpes (red fox), 118 nucleotides. NCBI's taxonomy places the organism in Eukaryota, Metazoa, Chordata, Mammalia, Carnivora, Canidae. The record is from Ensembl.